GACGGAGGGUGCAAGCGUUGUCCGGAAUUAUUGGGCGUAAAGCGUUCGUAGGCGGCCUGCCAAGUCUGAUGUUAAAUCCCGGAGCUCAACUCCGGCACGGCAUUAGAUACUGGCAAGCUUGAGUACAGAAGAGGUAAGGGGAAUUCCUAGUGUAGCGGUGAAAUGCGUAGAUAUUAGGAGGAACACCGGUGGCGAAAGCGCCUUACUGGUCUGUUACUGACGCUGAGGGACGAAAGCCACGGGAGCAAAUGGG
Molecule: ribosomal RNA, 253 nt
Filed under: uncultured bacterium
Lineage: Bacteria
Description: partial 16S ribosomal RNA
Rfam family: Bacterial small subunit ribosomal RNA
Source: RNAcentral